This is a long non-coding RNA of Lolium rigidum, 769 nucleotides long. RefSeq lists it as uncharacterized. NCBI's taxonomy places the organism in Eukaryota, Viridiplantae, Streptophyta, Magnoliopsida, Poales, Poaceae. The record is from RefSeq and is a predicted model, not a curated record. The transcript has 2 exons.
CUUCCAAUUUCGGUGUGGUCGCAUUAUUGAUCGCGUUGAAACUGCGUAUGCUAAUGUAGAUCCGACUUGAGUCUCGAGUUUGUAGGUAUGGAGUUGAUUCACCUCUCUAUUGGUUUCUGGCUCUUUGAAUAUAUGUUUCGGUUGCCCCAAUAUUACAUCAUUUAUUUCUGGCAAAUCAAUGUGAUCAUAUAUGGGGAGGACCAUUUUGCAACAAAGAAUUUACAGGGGUUCCCAUUGAAUUAAGAGAUAGAGUUAUAUGUUUGUCAUUCGUGUGUACUAACACCUACUGCUACUCAUGAUUUUGAUGGUGGAGCAAUGUGGGGUCUGUUGACGCUUAAGCAUAGGGGGAGAGCAUAAUGGCGGUUGCAGGCCUCCACCACUUUGGCGCUUCAAAAUUAGAGCUUAGUUGUCGGCCGAUGAAGAAGCUUCUCCUUAGAAGUGGAACGGCCUCCCUUAGGCACCAUGGUUGGGAGGAAAUCGAUGAGUCUGUGAAGCACCGUUGCUCUAAAUGGCCUUGUGCACGUAUCUGUUUCACUUCAAUCUCAGACAUCAUCUCAUGUUUGCUAGAUAUAAGGACCUGUUAGCACGCCGGAUUUAUUGCAUUCAGUAUUAUCAUGUUGUAAACUUGUAAUGGGAGUGGAGUUUUAGCUCCCGGGUUUAAAUGAACUUGUUAUCUGGACCAUUGUUUGGUGCCCUGAGAUUGACGAGUCAGUCAGAGUUGAAUGACAUAUGUGCGUCACUAAUUGCGGAAUACAGUGUAGUUGUCGCA